Molecule: ribosomal RNA, 492 nt
Filed under: uncultured bacterium
Lineage: Bacteria
Description: partial 16S ribosomal RNA
Rfam family: Bacterial small subunit ribosomal RNA
Source: RNAcentral
AGUGAACGCUGGCGGUAGGCCUAACACAUGCAAGUCGAACGGCAGCACAGUAAGAGCUUGCUCUUACGGGUGGCGAGUGGCGGACGGGCGAGGAAUACAUCGGCAUCUACUUUUUCGUGGGGGAUAACGUAGGGAAACUUACGCUAAUACCGCAUACGACCUACGGGUGAAAGCAGGGGAUCUUCGGACCUUUCGCGAUUGAAUGAGCCGAUGUCGGAUUAGCUAGUUGGCGGGGUAAAGGCCCACCAAGGCGACGAUCCGUAGCUGGUCUGAGAGGAUGAUCGGCCACACUGGAACUGAGACACGGUCCAGACUCCUACGGGAGGCAGCAGUGGGGAAUAUUGGACAAUGGGCGAAAGCCUGAUCCAGCCAUACCGCGUGGGUGAAGAAGGCCUUCGGAUUGUAAAGCCCUGUUGUUGGGAAAGAAAAGCAGCAGGUUAAUACCCCGCUGUUCUGACGGUACCCAAAGAAUAAGCACCGGCUAACUUCGUG